GAGACGAGUGCUUCCUAGACUCCAGAUGCCCUUCGCCCCGUGACCCCAAUGGAAGGUCAACAAUCACCCUCUUCCAUCCGCCCGCCGUUUCCUUCGCCCUUCCAGACGACCCUCGGUCCAUCAGCCCCUAGUUCUCCCGGGGUUGGUGGCGAGGGAGAGAAUCUCUUUGUGGCCCGCCCCAAGGGUCCUUCCAGCAGCUCUUCUCCAGAUCCUUUUUCCUUCCUCCUUUCUCACCCUUAUCUUGAGAAAUUGAGGGGGGCUCCCAGCCAGAACCCGCAAGACGUCGCCC
RNAcentral lists this long non-coding RNA (289 nucleotides) under Lotus japonicus. RNAcentral's name for it is "long non-coding RNA (LJAP_LNC000687)". Lineage: Eukaryota; Viridiplantae; Streptophyta; Magnoliopsida; Fabales; Fabaceae. The record is from RNAcentral.